UUUCUCUUUCCCUAUUAAAAAAUAUGUCUUGUGAUGUACGCCUGUAACCUCAGCACUGGGGAGGCCGAGGCAGGAGGAU
Molecule: microRNA precursor, 79 nt
Organism: Cavia aperea (Brazilian guinea pig)
Lineage: Eukaryota; Metazoa; Chordata; Mammalia; Rodentia; Caviidae
Source: Ensembl